UCAUGGAGUUAUAAAAAGAAAGGGUCACAGAAAUUUGAAUUGAAGAAAACAAAGAGAGUGUGUAAGGGCAGGGCUUUAUGGAGAAGGACCAAACCGAGUUUCGAUCCGCAAAGCAAAUAGAAGACAAAGGCUUAUUAUCUUUUACAGAAUAAUAAAACACAAAACAGUAAAAAAAAAAAAAAAAAAAAAGAAAAAACGAGACAAAGGGAAAAGCUGCUUUGGUCUUUGUUUGGUGGGUGAGACAAAGACGACGAAGAGGAAGAGACUUGAACGUAUCCAAUGGCUGAUGAGCAAAUAGAUUAUGAAGAUGAGGAGUAUGGAGGAGCUCAGAAGUUGCAAUAUCAGGGAAGUGGUGCAAUACCUGCACUUGCAGAGGAAGAGAUGGGAGAAGAUGACGAAUAUGAUGAUCUUUACAAUGAUGUUAAUAUUGGGGAGAAUUUUCUACAGAUGCACCGAUCUGAGGCUCCGCCAGCACCUCCUAGUGUGGGCAAUGGAGGAUUCCAACCUCGGAAUUCUAAUGAUUUAAGAGUUGAAUCUGGUGGUUCACAAGGAUUGAACAUCCCUGGGGUUGCAGUUGAAUCAAAAUACUCUACUGGAACACAUUUUCCCGAGCAGAAUGUUAAGGGGCCAGAAAUUGGAUCUGUUGGUUACCCAGAUGGGUCUUCUAUUGCACAAAAAACGAGGGUUAUGGAGAUGACUAAUGAUUCUCAAGCCCGAAAUAUGGGGUUUCAGGGAUCAACAUCGGGGCCCUCCAACAUUGGAGUCGAUCCUUCUGAUAUGAAUAAUAAAAUUUCCAAUGACCCCACACCUGUGCCAAAUGCUGGGGUUCCUCGAGUCAUUCCACAGUUGCCAGCUAGCCAAAUGAAUAUGAAUAUGGACACCAAUCGAUCAGCAACUAAUGAAAAUCAGAUCCGGCCACCUUUAGAGAAUGGUUCAACUAUGCUGUAUGUGGGAGAAUUGCAUUGGUGGACGACUGAUGCAGAGCUUGAGAAUGUUUUAUCUCAAUAUGGAAUGGUCAAGGAGAUAAAGUUUUUUGAUGAGAGAGCUAGUGGUAAAUCUAAAGGCUAUUGCCAAGUUGAAUUUUAUGAUGCAGCUGCUGCAGCUGCAUGCAAAGAGGGAAUGAAUGGGCAUCUUUUCAAUGGGCGAGCUUGUGUAGUGGCCUUUGCUUCUCAACAAACAUUAAAGCAGAUGGGUGCUUCUUACAUGAACAAAAACCAGGGCCAGCCUCAGUCACAGAAUCAGGGAAGGAGGCCUAUGAAUGAUGGUGCAGGAAGAGGUGGUAACAUGAAUUAUCAAGGUGGAGAUGCUGGAAGGAACUUUGGAAGAGGUGGGUGGGGACGAGGUGGGCAGGGAAUUCUUAACAGAGGUCCUGGUGGUGGGGGACGCAUGGGAGGAAGAGGAGGAUCCAUGGGUGCUAAGAACAUCGUUGGGGGUGCUGGUGGAGUUGGAAGUGGUGCCAAUGGUGGUGGCUAUGGACAAGGUCUUGCAGGUCCUGCUUUUGGUGGGCCUGCUGGUGCUAUGUUGCCUCCGCAGAGUAUGAUGCGAGCUGGAUUUGAUCCGACGUAUAUGGGCAGAGGAGCUGGUUAUGGAGGAUUUGCAGGUCCUGGUUUUCCUGGCAUGCUUCCUUCAUUUCCAGCUGUUAAUGCAAUGGGCCUUGCUGGGGUUGCUCCUCAUGUCAACCCAGCCUUCUUUGGCCGUGGAAUGGCACCUAAUGGCAUGGGAAUGAUGGGUCCCUCUGGAAUGGAUGGGCCUAAUGCUGGAAUGUGGUCUGACACAAGCAUGGGUGGAUGGGGAGAAGAACCUGGGCGAAGAACAAGGGAGUCAAGUUAUGGCGGUGAUGAUGGGGCUUCUGAGUAUGGCUAUGGGGAGGUGAAUCAUGAAAAAGGGGCAAGGUCAAGUGCUGCCUCAAGGGAAAAGGAGCGAGCUUCUGAGCGUGACUGGUCAGGGAACUCUGAUAGGAGGCAUCGUGACGACCGGGAACAUGAUUGGGACAGGUCUGAAAGAGAGCACAAGGAGCACAGAUACCGAGAAGAAAAAGAGAGUUAUCGGGACCAUCGACAAAGAGAGCGUGACUCCGGUUAUGAAGAUGAUUGGGAUAGAGGGCAGUCUUCUUCAAGAUCUCGGAGCAGAUCCCGUGCAGUGCCUGAAGAAGAUUACAGGUCUCGAUCAAGGGAUGCUGAUUAUGGCAAAAGGAGACGCCUACCAUCAGAGUGACACAAUCAAUCUAUUCAUUCUUGGAUAGGUUUAUGAGAUCUCAAUGUUUUAUAUUUGCACUCUUGGUCUUUCUCCCUUGGGCUGCUGCAACACAUGCACCAUUUUCUGCUGGCUUUCAUUGACCUGAAUGCAGAGGGUGACUUCUUCAGGGAAGAAGGAGUGGCGCGGGCAACUCUUUGUUUUCAUGAUUAACUUUGUUAGUUGCCUGGAGCAAGAUGUGUUAGAUGAGCUGCUUUCACUGGAUUUCUUCCAUAAUGGUUUUGAUCUGCCAAGUUUGGAAAAGAAGCCUUGACUAUUUUGAUUUCCUUUUUUCUUACAAGUACAACUUAGGAGUCUGUAAAAAAUGCUCCUACAAGAAUGUCCGGAAAGAUUUGUAUUUGUAGAGCUGUAAAAUAAGAAAGAAAUGUCAGUGAUAAGUUUUGGGAUAUAACCUCACGUUUGUUUGUAAAAUAGAUAUAUGUAUUAGGUCUACUUCGUGUAAUGGCUUCCUUCAUUAUUUAUUUUGACUUUUUUCUGGUUCAUCAAUGAACUUGUAAACCUUGUACCAACUGUGAGGCCCAUAUUUGUACACAUAUGAUGUUUUGUAACUUCUCUUGAUAUAUACAUACACAUUACUUACAAGGGUUA
RNA transcript from Ricinus communis (castor bean), 2841 nucleotides. It is a transcript of the gene named heterogeneous nuclear ribonucleoproteins A1 homolog, with no coding region annotated. The transcript is spliced from 3 exons. Lineage: Eukaryota; Viridiplantae; Streptophyta; Magnoliopsida; Malpighiales; Euphorbiaceae. The record is from RefSeq and is a predicted model, not a curated record.